RNAcentral lists this ribosomal RNA (370 nucleotides) under Erginulus clavotibialis. RNAcentral describes it as "partial small subunit ribosomal RNA". Lineage: Eukaryota; Metazoa; Arthropoda; Arachnida; Opiliones; Cosmetidae. The record is from RNAcentral.
UUAGAUACCCUAGUAUGCUAACUUUUUAAAAAAUUAAUAUUAAUAAAGAAAUUUUAAACUUUUGGCAGUAGCUUUACUCUUAGGGGAGCUUGUUUAUAGAAUUCACUCUCUAUAUUUCAUUAAUUUCUGUUUAUUUAUCUCCGUCAGCAAGUGUAAACUUUAUAAAUUAAUUUUUAUACCUCAGGUCAAGAUAUAGCAAUAAUUAAAAAAAAUUAGCUACAUUAAUAAAGUUAUGAAUUUAUAAAAGAAAAAUUUUUAAUAAAACUGAACUUAACUGUAAUUUAAUUUAAAAAAAUUAAAUGGAACAACAUAUUCUAUGUACAGAUUGCCCGUCACUUCUUUUAUUUAAAGAAUAAGUCGUAACAAAGUA